AGACCCGAAACCCGGUGAUCUAGCCAUGGGCAGGUUGAAGGUUGGGUAACACUAACUGGAGGACCGAACCGACUAAUGUUGAAAAAUUAGCGGAUGACCUGUGGCUGGGGGUGAAAGGCCAAUCAAACCGGGAGAUAGCUGGUUCUCCCCGAAAGCUAUUUAGGUAGCGCCUCGUGAAUUCAUCUCCGGGGGUAGAGCACUGUUUCGGCUAGGGGGCCAUCCCGGCUUACCAACCCGAUGCAAACUGCGAAUACCGGAGAAUGUUAUCACGGGAGACACACGGCGGGUGCUAACGUCCGUCGUGAAGAGGGAAACAACCCAGACCGCCAGCUAAGGUCCCAAAGUCAUGGUUAAGUGGGAAACGAUGUGGGAAGGCCCAGACAGCCAGGAUGUUGGCUUAGAAGCAGCCAUCAUUUAAAGAAAGCGUAAUAGCUCACUGGUCGAGUCGGCCUGCGCGGAAGAUGUAACGGGGCUAAACCAUGCACCGAAGCUGCGGCAGCGAACGUAUCACCCAAGACAACUUUGCGGAGUUGACGAUUGACGGAGCGAAGCGACGUCAAAGCGUUCAUUAAAGUCGAGUUGGCUUAGGGAUACGUUCGUUGGGUAGGGGAGCGUUCUGUAAGCCUGUGAAGGUGUGUCGUGAGGCAUGCUGGAGGUAUCAGAAGUGCGAAUGCUGACAUAAGUAACGAUAAAGCGGGUGAAAAGCCCGCUCGCCGGAAGACCAAGGGUUCCUGUCCAACGUUAAUCGGGGCAGGGUGAGUCGACCCCUAAGGCGAGGCCGAAAGGCGUAGUCGAUGGGAAACGGGUUAAUAUUCCCGUACUUGGUGUUACUGCGAAGGGGGGACGGAGAAGGCUAUGUUGGCCGGGCGACGGUUGUCCCGGUUUAAGCGUGUAGGUGUGUGUUCCAGGUAAAUCCGGUUCACUUUAACACUGAGGCGUGACGACGAGGCACUACGGUGCUGAAG
Molecule: ribosomal RNA, 965 nt
Filed under: Salmonella enterica
Lineage: Bacteria; Pseudomonadati; Pseudomonadota; Gammaproteobacteria; Enterobacterales; Enterobacteriaceae
Description: partial 23S ribosomal RNA
Rfam family: Bacterial large subunit ribosomal RNA
Source: RNAcentral